Long non-coding RNA from Octopus sinensis (East Asian common octopus), 489 nucleotides. RefSeq lists it as uncharacterized. NCBI's taxonomy places the organism in Eukaryota, Metazoa, Mollusca, Cephalopoda, Octopoda, Octopodidae. The transcript is spliced from 2 exons. The record is from RefSeq and is a predicted model, not a curated record.
UUUGUUUUCUGUUUUUCAUCUAUAUUUUCUAAUCACUGUUCACUGUUUUGAGGGAGCAGGCAGUUUUAAAUAUUUAUAUCCUAACCAAGAUAUGAUGGGGUAUGUAGUCAGCAGUUUGUAUCUUUAGUUGACAGUAAACAAGAAUCAUGGGUAUCACAAUAAGCAACAAAUAUGUUAGGGUAACAUUGACACUAUCAGUGAAGCAUGUGUACAUCCUCAAUAUAAAAAAAUACAAUUCCAAGAAUUCGCUCAUUUUUCUGAAAAUAGAAUCUUGAUGAUAAAAACUGUUCUUUGAUAAAAGAAGACUGGUUGAGUAGAAAUAAUGAUGGACAACAAAGAUUAUUUUGGAGCUUGAAUCCAAAUACUUGUAUGAGUGUUUAGGUGUGAAAUUAGGCCUUUAUUUUCUCUUAAUUCUACACUUGCUUUUUAGUUAGGAAUUGGUAGUUGUCUUCUAAGAAGAAGAAUUAUUAGUAAUAUAAAAAUGGAGCC